Non-coding RNA from Podarcis lilfordi (Lilford's wall lizard), 250 nucleotides. The record is from the annotation of a GenBank genome assembly. Lineage: Eukaryota; Metazoa; Chordata; Lepidosauria; Squamata; Lacertidae.
CUUAGUUUUCUGUGCUUUGUGCAGGAGCAGCAACCGGGCCAGGGAGCUGUGAAAGCGCCCCAUUCGCGCGAGAAACCCGGCGCUUUUGAAAGUAACUCUGUCGAAAAGCCGGAGAUUUGGUUGCGAGUGAGGGUGUCUCCAAAGGAGGAGAGAAGAGGAAUCAGAAGGCCAAAGCGAGGCAAUAAAUGAAAAUGAGGACUGAAGUUGGUGCACACUCUUACUUGUGUAAGUAAGUCUCGUUGUUCUGAGU